Molecule: ribosomal RNA, 490 nt
Filed under: uncultured bacterium
Lineage: Bacteria
Description: partial 16S ribosomal RNA
Rfam family: Bacterial small subunit ribosomal RNA
Source: RNAcentral
GGUGAACGCUAGCGGCAGGCCUAAUACAUGCAAGUCGAACGGGAUCCAGAUCAAAGCUUGCUUUGGUCUGGUGAGAGUGGCGCACGGGUGCGUAACGCGUGAGCAACCUACCCUUGUCAGGGGGAUAGCCCGGCGAAAGUCGGAUUAAUACCGCAUGACAUCAUUGAGAGGCAUCUUUCGAUGAUCAAAGAUUUAUCGGACAAGGAUGGGCUCGCGUGACAUUAGCUAGUUGGUAAGGUAACGGCUUACCAAGGCUGCGAUGUCUAGGGGCUCUGAGAGGAGAAUCCCCCACACUGGUACUGAGACACGGACCAGACUCCUACGGGAGGCAGCAGUAAGGAAUAUUGGUCAAUGGACGGAAGUCUGAACCAGCCAUGCCGCGUGCAGGAGGACGGCCCUAUGGGUUGUAAACUGCUUUUAUACGGGAACAAACGUCGGUACGUGUACCGGUCUGAGUGUACCGUAAGAAUAAGGAUCGGCUAACUCCGUG